AACCACCUACCAUGACCAAGUGCGCUGUAAAUGUAGGACAGAAAUUCGAGUGGAAUACAAACGGAUCAUCAAGCGACAUAUUCGAGGGAAAACCAUGUUUGGAUGUGCCUUAUCUGAUUCAAAUAUUUUUAAAUAUGGUACCACAUGCGAUCAUGGGAACACAGGAAAAGUAUUUUUCUUCCCAAACAUUUCUUGCAUUUUGAAACGGAAAAGAAGAGUGGCAGUAAAAUAUAUCCCUGUGCUAUCUUUCUCCGAUUAUCAAUGGUAGGCAUUGCAUAAUUCACCCUUAUCCACCGGAGCCAUUUGUUUCCUCCUCUUUGGGAAGAGGGGGACGCCAGAAAAAAAAACCCGACUACAUUCAGUUGCUGCCUUCUCGGUGGUGCCUGCAAUUGUUUGGCAAUGCCCUUUUCUCUCUUAGGAAGGACUUGCAGACAGUAGCGGGGGAACAAGCAGAGGAAGGAUGCAUUUAACGCUGGAUGUGUGCUGCAUUCAGGGAGAUUCGGCAGUAAUAGCAGCUAUAGCAGAAACAGCGAGUGCGGAGGGCCUGGGAAGCACCCAGCCCCACUAUCUCCUCCUUUUCCUCCCCCCUGCAGGACCAUGCUUGCGUGAGGGAUGAGGCUGUGCACAGGGACACCAGGCCAGAGCUGCGGCCUACUUCUCACAAGAGCCGGUCUCUCGACUGCAAGAUCAGUGAACACAUUGCCACCAUCAAAUCAGCAUCUUUGGUCAUCAGGUAGAUCCAGGAGCAUGAGCAGGACUUUGAGCUGCGGGAGCAGAUGUCUGGGUAUAAGCGCAUGCGGCGGCAGCACCAGAAGCAGCUGAUCGCCCUGGAGAACAGGCUAAAGGCCGAGAUGGAUGAGCAUAGGCUCCGGCUGCAGAAGGAAUUAGAGACACAAGCGAACAACACUUACAUUGAGCUGGAAAGACUGGCUAAACGCCACGUUGCUCAAACAGACAAAGAGAUGAAGUCAGUUGCAGCUGAAGAGAGGAGGAUCCAGCAACAGAUUGUUGCCCAGCAAAAGAAAGAGCUGACUACUUUCUUAGAGAACCAGAAAAAGGAGUACAGGCUUUGCAAAGACAAGAUCAAAGAAGAGAUGAAUGAAGACCUGUGUACACCCAAGGAGGAGAAGCAGGAGCGUCUGUCCAGGCACAAAGAAACAAUGCAGCGCUCUCAGGCUGAGGAGGAAGCCCAUUUGCUGGCCCAGCAGAGGCUGGUCUACGACCGGAGCUGUAGGGCCCUCAAACACCGGAGUCUGGUCAGGAGGCAUGAGUUUGAACAGGAGCAGCUGAGAGAGGAGUUGAACAAGAAGAGGACCCAGAAAGAGAUGGAACAUGCCCUGAUGAUCCGGCAGGACGAGUCCACCCAGGACCUGGAGCGGAGGCAGCUGCAGAUGCUGCAGAAGCUACGUAUUGAACUCAUGCGGCUACAGCAUCAGACGGAGCUCGAAAACCAGGAGGAGUACAAUGGCCGGCGGCAGAGAGAACUACACAGGAAACACACUCUGGAGCAGCGGCAGCAGCCCAGAAACCUCAAGACGCUGGAGAUGCAGAUCAAGAAACAAUUCCAGGAUACCUGUAAGGUGCAGAACAAGCAGUACAAAGCUCUUAGGAACCAUCAGCUGGAGGUCUCUCCCAAAGGUGACCAUAAGACCAUCUUGAAGGGCCUGAAAGAGGAGCAGACACGCAAGUUGGCCAUACUGGCCGAGCAGUAUGAGCAGAGCAUCAACGAGAUGAUGGCAUCACAAGCGAUGCGAUUAGAUGCAGAGCAGGAAACAGAGUGCCAAGCUCUGAAGCAGCAGCUGAAGCAAGAGAUGGAGCUACUGGACGCCUACCAGAGAAAAACCAAGUCACAGAUGGAGACCCAACAUGAGCGAGAGCAGCAGAAACUUGAGCAGAAGGUCUCCAUACGCAGAGCCCACCUUGAACAGAAGAUUGAAGAGGAACUGGCCGCACUUCAGAAGGAACGUACUGAAAGGGUCAAGCACUUGUUGGAACGUCAGGACAGAGAAAUGAAUGCUUUUGACACAGAAAGUAGAAGCCUCGGCUUUGGAAGCCUGGGAUCUCUGGACUUCCCCAAAGAAGACAACAGAUGAAAGUGGAUUUAUCUUUAGAGGACAACAUAUCCGUGCCCUUUUCAUGUCCACUUGGCCGUUUGUCACAUCCACGGUGACGAAGCUGGAUAACUUUCUCUAUUGCUUUCUUCUCUCUUAGAUAUUGCAUCUUUGAAUCGAGGUGUUACGUGCAAUGAGAACUUCUUUUGUGAAACUUGAAGGGUUGGGGGUGGGGGGAAGUAAAACAAAAGAAUCUACAACAACAUGUCAGUAAAAAUCAAAGCUAGUCAGUGUAACUCAAAACUUAUGUGUUUAAAAAUAACAGACUCUUUCCUCCAUGCCAUUUUCUCCUUUUGGUAUGAAUUGAAUAAAUCAGGAAAUUUUAGUAAAAUGGGCACUUUGAUAUGUUUAAGUAGAAACCCAUCAUGUUCAUACGAUGCUUAAUGUGUGUGUUACAUGGAGGGACAUUGUGGAAUGUGAGCUGCGGACUCCCCCGUGGUGUUAAGCUGCUUUGUCUUUUUUUUUUUGUUUUUUAAAAAUCUCAUUUUAUUUUUGUUUUAUUUAUUUUUACUUACUCAGAAUGUGAAUAUUACUGUAUGGGGUCACUGGAUAAAGUCAGAGUUUAUUCAUUUUUUAAAAUGUUUUGGUCAUACUUCCAUAUUGUGCUUAUGCAUACAGUAUACUGUGGUCCCUCACUUUUCUAGGCAACAGUUCUCAACUUUUCUUUACUUGAUAUGUAGGAUCAAUUGGCAUUAGCUUGAUCAACCCGUUUAUCACAACUCAAGAUCCCACUUGGUAAAACUGCUUAUUAUUGCAUGCACUUUAAGGACAAAUUCAGGUUGUGAAGUGAAGCAUGAAUCUGUCAGAGAUUUUAGCUGUUUGUAAAUAAAAGUGGUCAUAGCAUUUUUGUUUUAAGCCUAUGGAUACUGGACAUAAGCGCCAUAUUUGAUAUGAUAAUUUCACAAAUGCCUUUAUUUAAGUUGUGCCUGAAGCAGAUUUUAGUUAUGUGUUUGUUAUAUCUAUAUUUUAUUUACUGAGGCCGGCACCAUUUUUUUUCCUUUGGUUUCAUCUAAACUUGUCAAUCAUUUAAUGUUCACUUAUCAAAGUUCUUGUAAAGGAAAAUGGUGAGAAUUGUGCUGUAUAACUUUUGAUAUGAAUAUUUGUACUUGAGAAUAUAGCUAGAACAUACAGAGACACUGGUCUAUUACUGAUAACAGAGCUUAACGAUAAAGAUUUUGCUUCACUUUUGUUUUAUAUUAUAUAGAGAUAUGGUCAUACAAUAGCUCAAUAUAUUGCUAAGUGAAAUCACUAGACUCUCAGAUUGUAUAAAUGCUGGCAAAUGGAACCAUAGACUUCCUGCAGUAUCAGUAUGAUGAUCUUUUCUGGAUCAGCGGUUCUACUAAAAGCAAACACAACAACAUGUGGGUCCAGAUUGCAUUUGAGUAAUUAGUGUCUAAUGAUCAGAUUUACACAUUUUUUGCCAUGUUCAUAAUGGUCAUUGAACAGGUUGCACAAUGUUUCCAUUUAUAUUGAAUGGAAAGAGAAUUGUUUGGUGCUUAAUUUCUAAUACCACCUUUAGCCUUGUAGUUUUUUGUCUUGGAGAGACGAUUGAUUUUUACAAAAUGUAACCGUGAAGCAUUUUGAAACCCCUCUGAGUCAAAACACUACUAAGUUUUUCAAACACUCAUGACAUAUUUAGAGUACCCCAUGCAGUGAAAACCCUCUCCAAUGAAGUAUAUGUAUGAAAAAAUAAAUACUAUUUUAUCACGGAGCCACAACUUGUAUUAAUGGUCGGUCAUAUUCCUCACAGGGCUGAAAGGAGGAAGAUGUCCCCUGAAUUAACAAAGUAUUCUAAAUGGAGGAAUAUAAUGACAUUCAAAUAUAAUUUCUGAUGGCAAUAGAACUCAAAUGCUCUUGUUUUACAUGUUAAAGAAAAAAAAAUCUAAAUUAUGAGUGUGAAGUUGAAUGGCUCCACUAGAUUUUUCAGCCUUUUACAUUUUCACAAACUUUCUGAAAUUUGAUGAAAACGUUUCUCAUAUGCAGUAAGGCCUUUUGUCUGGUCACAUAUUACUCAAGCCUUGUGGACAAAUGGCUCCAUAAAAAAAAAAGUGCUAUUGGGGUGCUUCGGUGUCUUGAAUAAGGUUUGCGUGAGAGCUUCAGAACAGCAACAAACCUCACGAUUUAUGUGAAGUUUACGUUACUAGAAAGAUGUAUUUAGUUAGAAUAAAGGGGGACUUUCCUUAACAACCUUAUUCACCAUUUCCUGUGCAGUUCAAAAACAAAAUAAAAGAGAUUCUGUUGAAAAAUAA
RNA transcript from Thunnus maccoyii (southern bluefin tuna), 4360 nucleotides. It is a transcript of the gene named TAO kinase 3b, with no coding region annotated. Lineage: Eukaryota; Metazoa; Chordata; Actinopteri; Scombriformes; Scombridae. The transcript has 9 exons. The record is from RefSeq and is a predicted model, not a curated record.